Molecule: unclassified non-coding RNA, 271 nt
Filed under: Hevea brasiliensis (rubber tree)
Lineage: Eukaryota; Viridiplantae; Streptophyta; Magnoliopsida; Malpighiales; Euphorbiaceae
Source: RNAcentral
GAUCAGAUUCUACUCCAGGCUCAGGAAGUCUCCCAACCCAUUCUCGUUGAUUGGAUGGCUGCUUGGUGCCGAAAAUGCAUCUAUUUGAAGCCUAAGUUGGAGAAAUUAGCUGCUGAAUAUGAUACCAAGAUCAAGNNNNNNNNNUGUGGAUGUCAACAAGGUACCUCAAUCUCUAGUCAAGCGAGGAAACAUAUCUAAAAUGCCCACAAUACAGCUAUGGAAGGAUGGAGAGAUGAAAGCAGAAGUAAUUGGAGGACACAAGGCCUGGCUU